RNAcentral lists this ribosomal RNA (780 nucleotides) under Candidatus Fukatsuia symbiotica. RNAcentral describes it as "bacterial SSU rRNA". It matches the Rfam family "Bacterial small subunit ribosomal RNA", at positions 8 to 775 of the family's 1533-position model. Lineage: Bacteria; Pseudomonadati; Pseudomonadota; Gammaproteobacteria; Enterobacterales; Yersiniaceae. The record is from RNAcentral.
AGAGUUUGAUCCUGGCUCAGAUUGAACGCUGGCGGCAGGCCUAACACAUGCAAGUCGAGCGGCAUCGGGAAGGUAGCUUGCUAUCUUUGCCGGCGAGCGGCGGACGGGUGAGUAAAGUCUGGGGAUCUGCCUGAUGGAGGGGGAUAACUACUGGAAACGGUAGCUAAUACCGCAUGAUGUUACGCGACCAAAGCGGGGGACCUCCGGGCCUCGCGCCAUCAGAUGAACCCAGAUGGGAUUAGCUAGUAGGAGAGGUAAUGGCUCCCCUAGGCGACGAUCCCUAGCUGGUCUGAGAGGAUAACCAGCCACACUGGAACUGAGAGACGGUCCAGACUCCUACGGGAGGCAGCAGUGGGGAAUAUUGCACAAUGGGCGCAAGCCUGAUGCAGCCAUGCCGCGUGUGUGAAGAAGGCCUUCGGGUUGUAAAGCACUUUCAGCGAGGAGGAAUGAAGCAAUGCAAAGAGUGUUGCUAAUGGACGUUACUCGCAGAAGAAGCACCGGCUAACUCCGUGCCAGCAGCCGCGGUAAUACGGAGGGUGCGAGCGUUAAUCGGAAUUACUGGGCAUAAAGGGCACGUAGGCGGUUUCUUAAGUCAGAUGUGAAAUCCCCGAGCUUCACUUGGGAACGGCAUUUGAAACUGAGAGUCUAGAGUUUUGUAGAGGGGGGUAGAAUUCCAGGUGUAGCGGUGAAAUGCGUAGAUAUCUGGAGGAAUACCGGUGGCGAAGGCGGCCCCCUGGACAGAGACUGACGCUGAGGUGCGAAAGCGUGGGUAGCAAACAG